AUCCAUAGAAACAAGUUGUGUACUAUGGAGGUUAACUGAAGAAUUGUUCACACAAAAGAAUUGGACUCAAAGAAGCAGAGGAGAGAUGUGAGAAACUUGAGAGAAAAGUGAGAAGGAAUUGACCCAUUGUGGUACAAUCAGGACCUUUGGUGGUGCGAUUGGAUCAUGCAGAGAUAAAUGGAUCUGCUCCAGAAGAGAAAGAGAACAUAGAGAAGAGAGGAGGAGACGUGCGUGAGACGGGGCCUUGUAGUUAUUUCGUUGCAUGUUCCCAAUGUAGUUUUUUUCCUUUUUUUCUUAAUUUUUUGUUAAACUGAUUUGAUUUUAUGCCUGCUUUACGUAUUGCGUUUCUUCUUAAAUUGACUCAAAUUCUGAUAUUACCUACACCAGGGAACAAUGAUGAAUUCUAUGGAGGAUGCUCAUGGUACACAAGAUCCUUACUUCAUAAUCACCUAUCUGAAUGGUGCACAACAUCAAUGCUUUGUUAAUGCUAAGUCCCUUGAUUGCUUUUGUGUGUAGGAAGGAAAGGCUAUGUUGUCUUAACAAGGAUGGAAAGUAUAACAACAUACACAAACCAACGUGGACAACCCAAAUCUGGUAAAUUGUUUAUGUCAUUUAAGUUGUCUCUAGCAUUUGUUAUAAUGCAUAAAAUCCUGGUAUCGGUUAAAUUGCUAAACCUUCAAGACUGCUCAUUGGAGUGAGGAUGCGGUCGGACAUUCACCCUACCAUCCAUUGACUCAUUGUUGCUGAUAUCAUAGUGCAUACAACCUUUUUCACACGUGUUAUCUUAUUUUACCAUUGAUAAUGCACUGCUUAUGUAUAUUGAUUUAUUGUAUGCUUUAUAGGACUGAUGGAACCUGGAAGAUACACCUGAAACUGAAGAAAAAGUUCUCAAAAGUGCGGAAGAGCGGUAUAGAGGCUGGCGACCAACUCUAAGCUCCACUUACAAGGCAUACAAAACAUAUGCAGCUAGGUUGGCUUAUCUGCUGGAAGAUUUACAACAAGAAGAGUGGGAAUGGACGAUUGUGUACUUUGGCACUGAUUCAAAAUUUCAGGAACGCAGCCAAAAGAACAUUGAUAGUCGUAAGAAACAGAAGACAAGACACAUAUUUCGAUCAAAAUCUUACUCGCAACUAAAUUUCGAGAAGAGAAACAUGGAAACUGGAGAAGAGCCAGAUUGUAUUGCUAUGUGGGAACUCACCCACACGAAGAAUGGAACAUGGUCUGACACUGAGUCCCAGGAUGUUUACGAUCCAAAGAACUAGCUCGACUGGACUCUAGAUCACGGACAAUUUAGUCUUGGCACUUAAUUAGGAUGCCUAAAUUACAUUUGAUGGAUAUUUGCUAUGAGAAUUAUGAAUUUUAUGAAUCUACAUAUUGUACGUAUGGUUUUGAAUAUUGUAAUUGAAUGCCUAUAUUUUUUUUAGGUUGCAAUAGGCUAUUGCCACAACCCACUUUUCGUUGCCACAUGUUAGCACCACGAAAAUUUAAAUUGUCGCAAUAAUUUCUCGCUACAAACAUUUCACUCGUUGUGAUACCUAUUUAUCACCGCCAAAACUAGUAUGUUGCAAUUUCCUAUUACGACGACUGGAAUAUUUGUUGCCAUAACUCAAUUCCACAAGUGUAGCGGUUCGUGGCAAAAUGCCUAAUGCCACAAAACAAGGAUUGUUGCCAUAGUUUAUUGCCACAAUUGAUUAUUGCCACAAAACAGUAUGCACCAUGAAACGAGCGUGUUGGCAUAGGUUGUUGCAACAAAUGUCUAUCGCCAUGAGUUAUCAGUCGCCAUGAUUCAUUACAUGUUGCA
This is a non-coding RNA of Aegilops tauschii subsp. strangulata, 1801 nucleotides long. The record is from RefSeq and is a predicted model, not a curated record. NCBI's taxonomy places the organism in Eukaryota, Viridiplantae, Streptophyta, Magnoliopsida, Poales, Poaceae.